UUGACGGUACCCUACUAGAAAGGAGCCGCUAACUUCGUGCCAGAAGCGUCGGUAAUACGGGGGCUCCAAGCGUUAUCCGGUGUAAUUGGGCGUAAAGAGUCGUGUACCGUGGUAGGGUAAGUCAUCUUGCACAUCUCUUUGCUUAACAAAGAGGAGCGGGGAUAAUACUGCUCGACUAGAAUUUUCUCAAGGGAGAUCGGAACUGAGGGAGGAGUAGUGAAAUGCGUUGAUACCCUCGGGAACACCAGUGGCGUAGGCGGAUCUCUGGGAGAAGAUUGACACUGAGACACGAAAGCUAGGGGAGCGAAGCAGAUUAGAGACCUGCGUAGUCCUAGCCGUAAACGCAUGCUUGCUAGCUGCAUGAAUCUACCUUCGGGUGGUAUCGUGUGGCGAAGGUAACCCGUUAAGCAAGCCGCCUGGAAAGUACGGCCGCAAGGCUGAAAUUCAAAGGAAUUGGCGGGGAGGCACACAACCAGUGGAACAUGUGGUUUAAUUCGAGACUAACCGAAGAACCUCACCAGGGUUUGACAUGUAGCUGCACGUCUUAAGAAAUUAAGACUCUCUUGAAGGUGCUACACAGGUGCUGCAUGGCUGUCGUCAGCUCGUUCCGUGAGGAGUGCCCUUAAGUGGGACAACGAGCGCAACCCCUAUUACAUGUUAGAAAUGUCACGUAAGACUGCCUUGCCAUUUGGCGGGGAGGUAGGAGGGGCAGACGUCAAGUCCGCAUGGUCCUUAUGCCCUGGGCUACACACAUGUUACAAUGAGUACGGCAAUGAGUCUGUCGCGAGCACGUAAGUGUAAGCUAAUCUCUUAAAUGUACUCCCAGUGGGGAUUGAGGUCUGCAACUCGACCUCAUGAACACGGAAUUGGUAGUAAUCGCGGGUCAGCUAUACCGCGGUGAUACGUUCUUGCCUCUUGCACACACCGCCCGUCAAACCAGCAAAGU
Molecule: ribosomal RNA, 946 nt
Filed under: uncultured organism
Description: bacterial SSU rRNA
Rfam family: Bacterial small subunit ribosomal RNA
Source: RNAcentral